RNAcentral lists this long non-coding RNA (1435 nucleotides) under Rattus norvegicus (Norway rat). RNAcentral's name for it is "long non-coding RNA NONRATT013973". The record is from RNAcentral. Lineage: Eukaryota; Metazoa; Chordata; Mammalia; Rodentia; Muridae.
GCAGACCAUUUGGAAACAAAAUACUGCUUAGAAAAGAUUCGAAGAUCUCCUGUUAGCUGCACAUACUCUGCAUAGUUCAUAAAGCAAGGCGGCCUUGUUUAGUAGUAGUUACUCUCAAUGUACAAACAUCCGUUAAAUAACUCGAACAAAAUUAAUGUCCACAUUCAAAUGUUUAGUCCUAAGUCUUGUUACAAAUAGGACUUUAAGUCAGUCAAAACCCAUCACUACAGUUGACACCCAAGAACUCUUGAGUGCACAACCUUGUCCUCAGAGAAAUACUAUAUCAGCACUAGAUUGUGUUGCCAAACUCUGUACAAACUCUCUGCUAUAACAGGUGUAAUAAUAGUUUACAACACUGAUUCCAUUAAAAUUAUUUUUAUUGAGAAGGCAUUUUUUAAACUUUUUAUUUUUUCAUUUUUUGGAUUUGUAGAAAAGUUGCAGGGUAGCACAGAGUGAAUUUGGUACUAAAGCAGUGUCUCCACUUCGAAAGCAGCACUCCUGUUUGUGCCAGCCAUCAUUCUAGGUGCUGGAAAAGAUGGUUUUGAGAUCUGGUUUAGAGACAGCUAUUUUAAGGUGUUUUGAAACCUCAAAGCCUAUCUGCAGUGACACACCUCUGAAGUGGCAACUUAAAAGUUCUUUGGAAAUCAGUUGUGUUAGAUGGUGUUUUGCUAAGGCAGACUCGUGAAGGAAUGUUUAGCCGAAGCAGACACAGGUGAAAGGAGGUUCUGCUAAACAAGCACGUGAAAGGACAUGUGAUGAAGGAUUCUUCACUAAUGACACACAUACAUGUAAUGGCACACCUCACAUUUCGUAGUUGAACUCCAUUUGUUAGGACUCCAUGAGAGAAACUCCACAAAUGUGCCAGUUUGUCUUACUUCCUUGCACCCAGGAUGGUUAACAGAUUAUGUCCGCUGAGACAGACCUGUGGAGGACACAUGAUGCUUGGAGGGUAUAAAUAGGCCCACUAGGCAGUGACUAAGGCUAAGCUUGACUUGCUUACAUAGCUAAACGGUUCUUGGUCUCGAGUCUUCGUUUUUGCUGAGAGAGGCACUGCAGAGAACUUCUGUCAUUCCUGCUGUUCUCUCCUACUGACUUGUGCUGAUUUGGCUGAGGCCUGGCCCUUGCUGCUAGGUCGUGCCACCGCUACUACUAUCUGGAGACUGCCGAACUAACUCUACUGGUGCACCCAUGAAGUGUUUACCAGUGGAUUGAGCUGCCAUUACUGACCUGUGAACUAAACUAUGGAUUGCCAGACAGCACAGAUGGAAGAUGCUCAAAUGAACCAUUUCUUUUUCUAAACAGCUCCACUGUCCCAUAUCCUUUCUCUUCUACCACCCCCAGUAGGUGGCAGACUAGAAGAGAGCUUAAAACAUUUGGAAACCCUCAUUAAAAGUAGGCUUUGAAAAAAUUAAAGUUACAUAUGUCUUCCAACAAG